This 460-nucleotide ribosomal RNA is filed under the name NC10 bacterium enrichment culture. RNAcentral's name for it is "bacterial SSU rRNA". It matches the Rfam family "Bacterial small subunit ribosomal RNA", at positions 977 to 1434 of the family's 1533-position model. The record is from RNAcentral. Lineage: Bacteria; Methylomirabilota (SeqCode).
GGGCUUGACAUCCCACGAACCUGCCCGAAAAGGUGGGGUGCCCGCAAGGGAGCGUGGAGACAGGUGGUGCAUGGCUGUCGUCAGCUCGUGUCGUGAGAUGUUGGGUUAAGUCCCGCAACGAGCGCAACCCUCACCCCUAGUUGCCACCGGGUUAAGCCGAGCACUCAAGGGGAACUGCCAGCGUCAAGCUGGAGGAAGGCGGGGAUGACGUCAAGUCAUCAUGCCCCUUACGCCCUGGGCCACACACGUGCUACAAUGGCCAGUACAAAGGGACGCGAGACUGCGAAGUGGAGCUAAUCCCAAAAAGCUGGUCUAAGUUCAGAUUGCAGUCUGCAACUCGACUGCAUGAAGGAGGAAUCGCUAGUAAUCGCGUAUCGGCCCGGCGCGGUGAAUACGUUCCCGGGCCUUGUACACACCGCCCGUCACACCACGAAAGCUGUCUGUACUCGAAGUCGCUGAG